ACAAAAUCAUUAAAGUAAACAAUCCGUUUAUAAUACUAAAAACUAGGAAAUCUCAUGAUUGGUUCUGUAAAGAUUUACAAAUAAAAUCAUUAUGUUAUAAUUCAUGAAGUGGAUGGUUCAUAACCUAGACCAUAUAAGUUCAAGACUAAAGUUCAUUGGAGGUUUACAUCCAGCCACAUGAAAGACUCAUUCAACCUUAGUCUUUAUGAUUUUGACCAUGUCAUUAUGUAGAGUAUCUUUGUAAUCAAUUUUCUACCUAAGUUCUUCUUUACCCAUGAGUUGCAGAAAGCUGGAGAGGUCAACGUCCUUCAGAUCCGGUCUAGUGAAAACUCAGCCGACCUCUUCACCAAAUCAUUGCCCUCUUGCACAUUCAGGAAGUUCACGCAACAAGAUUGGCACGCGUAGACUCAAGGACCUUCAGUGAUGUCCAAAUCAGGGGGAGUAAUGUGUGUUGUACUUUUUUUCCUUUCUCUGGUUUCCCUUUUUACCACAUUGGGUUUUGGGUUUUCUAGGAGAGGUUUUAAUGAUGCAACAUUAGCAUGUUACAAGCCCUAUAUGGUUAUGGCAUCCAAGGGGGAGUGUUAUGAAUCAUGAAGUGGAUGGUCCAUAACCUAGACCAUACAAGUUCAAGACUAAAGUCCAUUGGAGGUUUACAUCCAGCCACAUGGAAGACCCAUUCAACCUUAGUCUUUAUGAGUUUGACCAUGUUAUUAUGUAGAGUAUCUUUGUAAUCAAUUCUCCCUUUGACUCCACCUUGUAUGAACCACUAUAUAUAGUGGUGUAAGCAAUAAGAAAUAUACAACACAUUCUCACAAAUCUUCUCUCAGAUAUUAACACAUUAAAAUAAAUUGAUAUCGAGUUUCGAUAUAUAAAUCACUAAAGUUUUGAGGUAUAAAUGAAGCAUAUAUUCACAAGUGUGUACAAAGGCAAAGCUAUAUAGAAUAGAAGAGAAAUCAAACUUCACUCGAAGUGGAAGAGAGAA
Molecule: long non-coding RNA, 982 nt
Filed under: Brassica napus (rape)
Lineage: Eukaryota; Viridiplantae; Streptophyta; Magnoliopsida; Brassicales; Brassicaceae
Description: long non-coding RNA (BNAP_LNC019101)
Source: RNAcentral